UACGUAGGAUCCGAGCGUUAUCCGGAUUUAUUGGGUUUAAAGGGAGCGUAGGUGGAUUGUUAAGUCAGUUGUGAAAGUUUGCGGCUCAACCGUAAAAUUGCAGUUGAAACUGGCAGUCUUGAGUACAGUAGAGGUGGGCGGAAUUCGUGGUGUAGCGGUGAAAUGCUUAGAUAUCACGAAGAACUCCGAUUGCGAAGGCAGCUCACUGGACUGCAACUGACACUGAGGCUCGAAAGUGUGGGUAUCAAACAGG
Molecule: ribosomal RNA, 253 nt
Filed under: uncultured bacterium
Lineage: Bacteria
Description: partial 16S ribosomal RNA
Rfam family: Bacterial small subunit ribosomal RNA
Source: RNAcentral